CGGCGAGUGAAGCGGCAAAAGCUCAAAUUUGAAAUCUGCGUAAGCCGAGUUGUAAUUUGAAGAUGGCUACUUUGGUAAUGGCUCUUGUCUAUGUUCCUUGGAACAGGACGUCACAGAGGGUGAGAAUCCCGUGCGAUGAGAUGUCCAUUACCGUGUAAAGUGCUUUCGAAGAGUCGAGUUGUUUGGGAAUGCAGCUCUAAGUGGGUGGUAAAUUCCAUCUAAAGCUAAAUAUUGGCGAGAGACCGAUAGCGAACAAGUACAGUGAUGGAAAGAUGAAAAGAACUUUGAAAAGAGAGUGAAAAAGUACGUGAAAUUGUUGAAAGGGAAGGGCUUGAGAUCAGACUUGGUAUUUUGUAUGGCUUGCUUUCGGGCGGGUCCUCUGCAGUUUACUGGGCCAGCAUCGGUUUGGGUGGCAGGAUAAUAGCAUAGGAAUGUGGCUCUACUUCGGUGGAGUGUUAUAGCCUUUGUUGAUACUGCCUGC
This 481-nucleotide ribosomal RNA is filed under the name Fermentozyma sake. Its description in RNAcentral is "LSU rRNA". It matches the Rfam family "Eukaryotic large subunit ribosomal RNA", at positions 87 to 582 of the family's 3401-position model. Lineage: Eukaryota; Fungi; Ascomycota; Pichiomycetes; Serinales; Debaryomycetaceae. The record is from RNAcentral.